Molecule: small nuclear RNA, 107 nt
Organism: Phacochoerus africanus (Common warthog)
Lineage: Eukaryota; Metazoa; Chordata; Mammalia; Artiodactyla; Suidae
Source: RefSeq, a predicted model, not a curated record
GUGUGUCCACUUCGGCAGCACGUAUACUAAAAUUAGAAUGAUACCGAGAAGAUGAGCAUGACCCCUGCGCAAGGAUGAUGCGAAUUUGUGAAGCAUUAAAAGAAUCA